GGCCGGGCCCGUGGGCACCGCAGGACGCGCGGACCGAGCGGGCGCCGGGCACCAGCAAUGACAAGCCGCCUGCUCGCCCCUCUCCCCGGCGCACCCGCUCCGGGAGGGGGGCGGCGGGCACGCGCAAAACCCGGCCCGGAGCCGCCGCCCGGGACCGGCCGCCGCAACCUGCCCAAGCGCACCGGAGGCCGGUCCGAAAACCCGGAAUGGACUUUCCUCCCCUUCGCCCCGCUCUUGUCCCUAUGGAAAAACCGGGAGAGGGAAGGAGUUGUGCUGGAUCCCGGCUUUGGAACGGGAAGUGGGGGAGGGGAGACAGGCUCGAGGAAGACCCGGAACGGAUUUUGCAGGUAGUGGAGUAAAGGCGCUUUGCCCGGUGAGGGGAGAAAUGGGAGCGAUCUGGAAGGGGUCUGCAAAACCCGGGUUGGAUUAGACAGAGAUGGGAGGAACGAAGGCAGCUGCGACAGGGCCAAAUGCACCCCGGGCACGCAAAUUUCGGGCCGGAUUCUUCCUCGGGAGACGGAGUAAUGCGUCAUGCCUAAUGCAGUGGGAAUAAGCAAGACCUGGCCUAGAGCUCCCAGACCUGGGCUCGCAGGGGUCUCCGGGAAGGGGCUAUUUAGUGGCUGAGGCGGCGUGGGCUGCCCUCGUCUUCCUGGCAGCGACGUGCAAGAAGGAGGGGCAAAAGGAGGGCUGGACUCGGGCACGAAAGGAUCUGGAGCGCUGGCUGCACCGAAGCAGGCAGCACCUGGUAGGAUCCAUGAAAGGCUUUGGCGGUACCGCAGGGGGCAACCAGGAACCCUCCCCCCACAUCCACACAGCCAGCUUUCUAUAAACCUGGAAGGAUUGAAAGGGGGAAGAACGUGCAGCUCAAGGAAGGCUGAGCAUCUCCAGAGCCCCCUGGCUCCUAGUCCUCCCACCACCCUGCCGUCCAGCCCUGAGUAGCCCACCCACCUGCUCUAUGGAGGGACCCUCGGAACCAAUGAAUGUGCCUGGGGGACGGUACUAACUUGCGUUCUUCAGUUGCUGCGAGAAGCGGUGUCUUUAAUUUAUACGAGGGAAAGGAGUGCCAUGCUUUAAGGAACCCCCGGCUCAGUUUGGAAAAAUCCUGGCUAGGACUCCCUUCCCCCAAACCCUCCUCUUUUUUCCCCAAAGCCCGUGGUCAGCAGAGCGCCCCGUGUUGUGGCCGGGAUCGGUUUCACUAGCCUCCAUUCUAUCGCGGUUUUUAGGCCUCGCGGGCGAGGGGCUCAAGAGGAGAAGGAUGAGUAGAGGCUGGGGGCGCAAAAGAGCCCCAGCGCUUCUCCCCGAAGACCCCCGGCUGCGCAGCCGCAGUGGAUGCCGCGCCAGCAGCCGGGCUCCUGAAACUAACGCGUCCGCGCGCGCGCAGUCUCGCCCCAGCUCCCGGCGCCCAGCACCGCGCGUGUCCGUACCCGCGCCCAGGACGCCCUACUCCCAAGGCGCUUCUCUCUUUGCGCAUCCUACCUAUGCCUCGGAUUCUCACGCUCAGCGUGACCCGCGUCUUGGAUACCCAACGUCCUGUCCAUCCGGCGCCUGGACAUCCACUUUUCUCUUUACCCUAUGCCAGAAAACCCUCACACCCAGGUGGCCCGCGCCUAGGACACCCCACGUACGGAUCCCCCGGCGUCUUGGAGACCCUACAUUCUGUGCAUCUAGCAUUUGGCGCACCCUGACCUCAGACGUGGAUAGCUCUACUCACCUGUGCCCUCUGCCCUCCUCCUGUGUCCACGUGUGUUGAGCUCCAGUGCUGACCGACCUGGGUGCUGGUUUCCUCCACCUUCCUCUGUCCCCGAUCUUCUGAGUCCUCUACCUCAGGGCUGGCGCCCUCAGUCGUGGGUGUCCUGUUUCUUCGUAUUCCUUAGUGCGGACGCUGCACCUUCCUCACUCCCAAGAAACAAGAGUCCAGGAAGCCACCCAGGUCCAGUCUGAGCAACAGCUGGCAGGCAGCAAUGGUGGUCCAUUCCCGGUAAGGCACCAACUGGGAGGGGAGGCCAGUUGGGUUGCACUUCCCACCCCGACCGCUAGGGGCCGCUGCCCCGCUGCUCUGCGGCCGCCAGGUGAGGAGGAGGCCCCGCCUCUUCCCCAGCAGGUGCUCUGGUUGGUCGAGAGGGCAGGGGACUGGAGUAAAGAGAGCAGGGCUGGGGGAGGAGUUGGGGGAACGAAAUGGGGGUGAAGGGAGAGAGCUGAGCGAGUCCCACGUAGAGGAUGCUGAAAGAGCAUGCAGAACUUCCCUGAACCCAUGUCCCCUGCAUCAGAAACAUGGAGCCUUAACCACCAGAACACCAGGGAAUUCCUGACCAGCAUCCUUAGAAGAGAAGAGGAAAGGACAGUGGAAAAGGCCACAUGAAGAUGGCGGCAGAAGUUGGAGUGAUGCAGUCACACAGCAAGGCACACCUGGAAACGCCAGACGCUGGAGUGUGGGGCUUCCCAGGUGGCCCAGUGGUUAAGAAUCUGCCUUGUAAUGCAGCAGACACCAGGUUCCUUCCUGGUCUGGGAAGACCCCAUAUGCUGAGGGGCAGCUAAGACGGUGUGCCGCAACCAAUGAGCCCACGUGCAGCAACUACUGAAGGCUGUGUGUCUUAGAGCCUGUGCUCCACAAGAGAAGCCACCACAAUGAGAAGCCCACGCACUGCAACGAGAGAGUACCCUUGUUGGCUGCAACUAGAAAAAGCCCUCGAGCAGCAAUGAAGACCCCGUGCAGUCAAAAAC
Bos taurus (domestic cattle) is the source of this 2721-nucleotide long non-coding RNA. NCBI's taxonomy places the organism in Eukaryota, Metazoa, Chordata, Mammalia, Artiodactyla, Bovidae. The record is from Ensembl.